GUCGGCAUUGUUCCAGUGUCUUUCCCUCCUGCUGCUUCUGCUGCUCCUCACACAACAUAAUCACUUUCAGAGCUGCACCUUUCUUCACCAACUCAAAUGCUUCUGCGGCCUGUUCCAGAGGAAGAUGAUGAGUUUCAAACCACUGGAGAUCAUGUGAUGAACAUAUGCAUCCUGUGCUCUGGGGACUACCAGGAUAAUGAUCCAUCAGAAUUCAGAAAUGGAAACUCCCUUACACGGACUCUUUCCACUUCUUGCUGCCUCGGUAAAGCAGCCAGUAUAAUCAAAAGACCCCCACUCCAGACAUUCCUUCUUUUCCCCUCUCCCCUCUUCCAUCAGGGAGAAAAUACAAAAGCCUGAAAGCACAUACCACCAGGCUUCAGGACAGCUUCUACCCUACUAUUUAAGACUAUUCAAUGGUUCCUUAUUACAACUUCUGCCCUACAAAUCUUGGUGCUGUUAGUGUCAAGCAUGGUGAAAGGUUUCACCAGGACAUUGCAGUCAUGGAGAACAGAUACCAGGGCAGCUGGAAUCCAUCAAUGCUUGCGAAUUAUUUUUGGACACUUAAGCGAGAAGCCUCAGACACUGAGUACAAACGAAAAUCAUUAAUGUUAACAAAAUAUUUUUAACUUAGUUGAUCUAUUGCAAAGCAUCAGCACCAUUAUGCAAUUAAACACAUUG
Molecule: long non-coding RNA, 678 nt
Organism: Mobula hypostoma (lesser devil ray)
Lineage: Eukaryota; Metazoa; Chordata; Chondrichthyes; Myliobatiformes; Myliobatidae
Exons: 3
Source: RefSeq, a predicted model, not a curated record